GAUGAACGCUGACAGAAUGCUUAACACAUGCAAGUCUUUGGCGAGUCUGUGCUUGCACAGGCUAGCCAAGGCGGACGGGUGAGUAACGCGUAAAGAACUUGCCCUGCAGACAGGGAUAACAGACGGAAACGACUGAUAACACCUGAUACAGUUGCCGGCACGCAUGUGCCUGGCAAUGAAAAGAGAUGCUGCAGGAGAGCUUUGCGUCCUAUUAGCUUGUUGGUGAGGUGACGGCUCACCAAGGCGAUGAUAGGUAGCCGGCCUGAGAGGGUGAACGGCCACAAGGGGACUGAGAUACGGCCCUUACUCCUACGGGAGGCAGCAGUGGGGAAUAUUGGAUAAUGGGGGCAACCCUGAUCCAGCAAUUCUGUGUGCACGAAGAAGGUUUUCGGAUUGUAAAGUGCUUUCAGCAGGGAAGAAGAAAGUGACGGUACCUGCAGAAGAAGCGACGGCUAAAUACGUG
This 463-nucleotide ribosomal RNA is filed under the name uncultured bacterium. RNAcentral's name for it is "partial 16S ribosomal RNA". It matches the Rfam family "Bacterial small subunit ribosomal RNA", at positions 28 to 507 of the family's 1533-position model. The record is from RNAcentral.